AGACAAGAGGAUGAAGGAGAAACUAUUCAGUACUCACUGGGAUGGAAAUAAAGAGCUCUGCAGUGAGAAUCUCAAAAGCUUUGUGACCUAACAAUGAGACCUGCGGAGAAGGCAGGGCCCCUGACUUGGGAGACAAACUCAGUAACAGAAACUUGGCAGAGUUUUGACUUCUUUCGACUUGGGACAAAGGCAGAAGAAGUAGUAAAAAAUAAUUGAAGAGUGGUUUAUUAUGUCUGUGUUGCAAAGGGGCAGGAAACCACAACUUUGAAGACGUGGAGGAAAUGGUUAAGGCAACACUGUGAGCAAGCAACGGUGCUAACGCUGGGGAAAGUGAGGGCAGAUGAGGGCAGCUAGGACUGUAGAGUCGCCUAGAAAUUAACAUCCCUCCCGUUAGGAGAAGCAUGCUGCGUGUGUGACUUUGAGAAGUCAGUUACACUGACAUUGGAACUUUGCAUGAAUGUUCGGGACCAAGCCAGAUACCAAACGGUAGCAGCAGAAGAUGGGUAGAGAAGACUCAGUGUGGGCCCAGAGACAAACAUACCCCUCACCCCUCAUCAAGGAACGCCUCUUUGUAAAUGUAACAGACAGAGACUACGACAGAAAACCAUACAGGGUCAAAAUGCAGAAACUAAGUAAUGGUGUGGUGUCAGACCCCAACUGCUACAUCUGUAACACCCCUGUGCAGCUAAGCCACAAAGUACAUCCCAGAAGGGAAAUGUCAUGGUAUUUCAAGUAUCAGAAGAACUGGAAGCUCCGGUAAGAAGUCUCCUAGAAAUGAUAGGGAAGUCUCAAAAACAUGGCUGCCUAAACAAUACCUGGACUGGAUUACACCAAUAGACACGCUAACACGGAAGAGGAGAUCCCAAAGAGUCCCAAAUCCGAAACAAGUAACUAUAGACAGUUAGGGAAUUCUGAGAGUGGAAGAAACAACCUUUCCCAUGGAGGAGCGCCCCCCAACUGGUUAUCUAUCAGCAAGUGGUCAGCCCUGAAACCAUAUGCAUACAGGAGCUUCUGAGUGGAUCCAAGAGAUUCAAAUCCAAUUUGGCUGGACCUUCAACCAGUGAAAAUGGAAACUGAUAUACUAUGUGGUCCUUCUUGGUGACCAAAGGAUGCCACUGCUCUUCUGCUGCAAGAGAAAGGAAGACGAAGAAAGAAAACACGUGACUCACUGACUUGCUUCAAGCUGCUAUCUGCUAUUUCCCUGCCUGGUACAGAUGUCCAGGGUGUCUGUGAGCUAACCUUAUCCACUGGUUUAGAUGCCCAGCGUGUCUGUGAGCUAACCUUACACACUCAUAAUAAUCCUGCCUGGCUAGUUCUACAAGGUUGUCUACUAUCACAACACCAUCAGUUCUUAGCAAAGUAUUCUCUCUCUCUCUCUCCCUCUCUCUCUCUCUCUCUCUCUUCCAUUCCUUCCCUCCCUCCCUUUCUCCCUCUUUCUUUUUUCUUUCCUUCUUUCUUCUUUCUCUCUCUCUCCUCCUUCCUUCCUCUCCCUACCUCUUUCCCUCCCUUCUUGCUCAGAUUUCUGUUUGCAUUGUUGUGGGCCACUUAUGAGACUGACAUUAAGGGAGAAUCUGAAAAGAGAAUCUCAGAGCCCCUUUACAUGUCAAAGUGUCCAGGUGCUGAUUAAAACACCACCUUUGUUCUAUUUCUGAAUUAAAACCAAUGGUAUGGGAUCUAUUUAAUAGGAGAUUUUAGGAGAAAAAGGAUGCUCCUUCAUUCAAUGUAAAUAUAAAAUCAACUCCAAUUUUAGAAAUGCUAAAAAUGUGAUAAGUGGGUAUCUUAGAAUGGUGGCCAUGUGUAAUACACGGGAAUAGAUUGUUUAAGAGACAAAUGGCACUUCACUUUUAUUUAUUUUUAUUUUUAUACUGUUUUCACACAGAGCUCUGUUACCCACCAUAUAAUUAUUACAUCAUCAGUCCAGAGAUGCUCUAUGAAAAGAACUCAGAAUUAACUACCAUACAUACUUUUUCAUCUUCCUUCUCAUGAAUCGUUUCUUACAAGGCUUUUGGGUAACAAGCUCCAACAAAACAAAAGAGAUAAAUUAAGAAACAGGAAGAAGUGGCCCCCAAGAAAUAAUUUAACUCUAGACAGCAGUAAUGGAAGUCUUAAAAUAACCUGGGAAAAGGGCUCUCAGAACAAGAGUGUCUCAGUAUAUGGAGGGCAAAAAGUCCUUGUGCACAGAGAUAAGCAAUGGAAAAGUCAGGAAAGCUAACUUCUGAAGCAUUCUACAAAGGAAAGAGAUAUUUAACCUGUUGCCCUCCUGAAAUUUUGGGAAUAGGUAUAUUUUAUGACCUGGGAUUUUUUGCUGUCAGAUGAACUAGGCUCCACCCAUAGCUUCCAGAAUGUAUGUUUUACUUAUGCUAGAUCGUUUCCCUAUAAAUAUUGAGCAUAACUUCCAUGCUAUAAAACUCAUCCUUAUAUGGAUAAUGUUACUUGUCCUAUACACUAGACUAAGUGACUUCUGUGUUAUCUUAGGGCCAGGCCAAUCUCGACAUCCACAGACAUUAUGUUUACCUCAGUCACUCACUCUCCCUAGACCUUGAAUCUUGGGCACUAGCUCAGAGUCAACAGUACCCACCUUUGUGCACACAGAUCAACAAUGGAAAAGCCAGCAAAUUUCAGCACAAACAUGUCUUAAGCUCUGCUAUACU
Molecule: long non-coding RNA, 2651 nt
Organism: Mus musculus (house mouse)
Lineage: Eukaryota; Metazoa; Chordata; Mammalia; Rodentia; Muridae
Product: predicted gene, 39692
Exons: 3
Source: RefSeq, a predicted model, not a curated record